AAUCAACGCUGGCGGCGUGCCUCAGACAUGCAAGUCGAACGCGAAAGUUUCCUUCGGGAGAUGAGUAGAGUGGCGCACGGGUGAGUAACACGUGAGUAAUUUACCUUCGGGUGGGGAAUACUAACCGGAAACGGUUGUUAAUACCGCAUAAUGCAGCGGCAUCAAUGAUGACAGUUGUUAAAGCGGGGGAGUUGGAGCAAUCCGACCUCGCGCCUGAAGAGAAGCUCGCGGCAGAUUAGCUAGUUGGUAAGGUAAUGGCUUACCAAGCGACGAUCUGUAACCGGCCUGAGAGGGCGGUCGGUCACACUGACACUGAAUAACGGGUCAGACUCCUACGGGAGGCAGCAGUCGGG
Molecule: ribosomal RNA, 353 nt
Filed under: uncultured bacterium
Lineage: Bacteria
Description: bacterial SSU rRNA
Rfam family: Bacterial small subunit ribosomal RNA
Source: RNAcentral